UGACGUAGGAGAAGGAAAAAAGGUCAAUCAUGAGAGAUGUUCUAGAUCGAAGCUUCAGCUGCAAUGCAUCAGAUAUCUUGGUCCAGCAAAAAGGAAGGCUUAUGAAGUUGUGGUUCAAGAUGGGAAACUUAUCUUCAACCAUAGUGGUGAAUUCCUUCACACAGUAGGAGGUAUCAAAAGUUCAUUCUCUUGGGUGAUUUUGUAGAUUUCCAUGCACCAAUGUAUAUCUUACAUGCCCACAUUGUGUGCUACAAAUAAUAAAAUAAUGUUAUGAACAAUGUUAAUGUUGUAGCUUCAUUGAUGGUAUGUACUUAAAAUGAUUUCAAGCAACUUCAUUGA
Molecule: long non-coding RNA, 339 nt
Organism: Quercus lobata
Lineage: Eukaryota; Viridiplantae; Streptophyta; Magnoliopsida; Fagales; Fagaceae
Exons: 3
Source: RefSeq, a predicted model, not a curated record